ACUGUUUAUACCCCCGCUUUAAAUUAUACCCCCGCUUUAAAAAAGGGGGGGUAUACUGUUUUACCUCUGUCUGUCAGUCCGUCCGUCAGUCCGUCCGUCCAUCAGUCCGUCCGUCCGUCCGUCAGUCAGUCCGUCCCAUGAAACUUUCGUCACAUUUUUCUCAGGAACUACACAUCCACCCUUUCUGUAAUUUGGUAUCAACAUUUAUAUAUGUCAGCCAUACCGUGUGAUGCGUUUUCAGAUUCAUCACUUGACAACUUCCUGUUUACCGAAUACUUGUCUGAUUUUACACAUGAUAGCCAAGUUGAAAAUUUUCGUCACAUUUUUCUCAGGAACUACAAUACAAGGAUUUCUGAAAUUUGGUUUCAGGAUUUAUAUAAGUCAGCUAUACCGUGUGAUGCGUUUUCAGAUUCAUCACUCGACAACUUCCUGUUUACCGAACACUUGUAUGAUUUUACACAUGAUAGCCAAGUUGAAAAUUUUCGUCACAUUUUUCUCAGGAACUACAAUACAAGGAUUUCUGAAAUUUGGUUUCAGGAUUUAUAUAAGUCAGCUAUACUGUGUGAUGCGUUUUCAGAUUCAUCACUCGACUACUUCCUGUUUACCGAACACUUGUAUGAUUUUACACAUAAUAACCAAGUUAAAAAUUUUCGUCACAUUUUUCUCAGGAACUACAACACAAGGAUUUCUGAAAUUUGGUUUCAGGAUUUUUAUAAGUCAGCUAUACCGUGUGAAGCGUUUUCAGAUUCAUCACUCGACAACUUCCUGUUUACCGAACACUUGCAUAUUUUUACACUAUUAAUAUUAUCCACUUGCGGCGGGGGUAUCAUCAUUGAGCAGUAGCUCGCAGUUUCACUUGUUGGUGGUGCUUAUAUUUUUCUUUAGUGAAAUAUACCCUGAGAUCCCUGGACUAAUGCAUAUUGGACCACAGUUGCUUUUGGAAUAAACAGGCCUUACAAACCAAAUAAGAACUCCAUAGACUAUUUUAGACCCACUACCCAUCCUUUGAACCAUUGGAAGGAAAGCUACCUCCCAAGUUGCAAAAUUUUUUUUUGGUGGUGCUUAUAUUUUUAUCAAAUAAAAUAUUAUAUAAUAGAUCCCUUGACUUUUAGAGUGGAUCAAAGUUGCCUGUGGACCAAUGAGCCUUACAAACCAACUUAAAAUCCAAAAGAGUAUUAAGACCCCUAUACCCAUCUGUUGGACCAAAAGGAAGGGAAGCUAACUCUCUUUUUGGUGGUGCUUAUAUUUUUCUUUAGUGAAAUAUACCCUGAAACCCUGGACUAAUGCAUAUAGGACCACAGUUGCUUUUGGACCAAUGAGCCUUACAAACCAACUUAGAACACCAAAGAGCAUUAUAGAUCCUUUUACCUGAUUGUUGGACCAAUGGGUGGGAAACCACCUCCCGUGGUGCUAAGUCA
RNAcentral lists this long non-coding RNA (1418 nucleotides) under Mytilus galloprovincialis (Mediterranean mussel). The record is from RNAcentral. Lineage: Eukaryota; Metazoa; Mollusca; Bivalvia; Mytilida; Mytilidae.